CGCGUAGGCGGCCGAUCAAGUCGGAGGUGAAAUCCCUCGGCUCAACUGAGGAAUUGCCUUCGAUACUGUUCGGCUUGAGUCCUGGAGAGGGUAGCGGAAUUCCCGGUGUAGCGGUGAAAUGCGUAGAGACCGGGAAGAACACCAGUGGCGAAGGCGGCUACCUGGACAGGUACUGACGCUGAAGCGCAAAAGCUAGGGGAGCAAACG
This 207-nucleotide ribosomal RNA is filed under the name uncultured bacterium. RNAcentral describes it as "partial 16S ribosomal RNA". It matches the Rfam family "Bacterial small subunit ribosomal RNA", at positions 568 to 774 of the family's 1533-position model. The record is from RNAcentral.